UCGACCUGAGCUCAAGCAAGACCACCCGCUGAACUUAAGCAUAUCAAUAAGCGGAGGAAAAGAAACUAACAAGGAUUCCCUUAGUAAUGGCGAAUGAAACGGGAAUAGCCCAACUUGAAAAUCUCCCUUUGGAGAAUUGUAGUCUAGAGAAGCGCCCUCUGCGGCGGCCGGAGCC
Molecule: ribosomal RNA, 175 nt
Filed under: Dunaliella primolecta
Lineage: Eukaryota; Viridiplantae; Chlorophyta; Chlorophyceae; Chlamydomonadales; Dunaliellaceae
Description: partial 28S ribosomal RNA
Rfam family: Eukaryotic large subunit ribosomal RNA
Source: RNAcentral